Molecule: long non-coding RNA, 189 nt
Organism: Perognathus longimembris pacificus (Pacific pocket mouse)
Lineage: Eukaryota; Metazoa; Chordata; Mammalia; Rodentia; Heteromyidae
Exons: 5
Source: RefSeq, a predicted model, not a curated record
UCUCCUCUUCAGGAGGGGGAGGGAGAAGAUCAUUUCCGGCGGUGACGACCUCCUCCCGAGAACAUGCCUCUCCCAAAGGAUCUUCUCCAUCCCUCUCCUGAAGAGGAGAAGAGGAAACACAAGAAGAAGCGCCUGGUGCAGAGCCCCAACUCCUACUUCAUGGAUGUGAAAUGCCCAGGAUGCUAUAAA